This 320-nucleotide RNase P RNA is filed under the name Candidatus Heimdallarchaeota archaeon. RNAcentral describes it as "RNase P RNA component". It matches the Rfam family "Archaeal RNase P". From Rfam's summary of the family: Ribonuclease P (RNase P) is a ubiquitous endoribonuclease, found in archaea, bacteria and eukarya as well as chloroplasts and mitochondria. Its best characterised activity is the generation of mature 5'-ends of tRNAs by cleaving the 5'-leader elements of precursor-tRNAs. Cellular RNase Ps are ribonucleoproteins. Lineage: Archaea; Promethearchaeati; Candidatus Heimdallarchaeota. The record is from RNAcentral.
CGAGGCGAAAAGGCAACUUCGGCUUUGGCUGAGGAACCUCCUGACUCCUUAAAGAGAUGUAGAUGUAAAUCUACCAUGCGAGAGCGUGGUUCUUGGAACAGAAACGACACGCCCUUUAUUCAGGGACAAUGAUGCGAAGAAGAUUGUGGUAACACAAGUCGAGUUAAUUUGCUGAGGAGAAUAAAGGAAACGGUGAAACGGUCAACCAUCUUGGAGCAAGCUUGAGUAGGGUUCAUCUGAACCGGGUAAAGUGCUUAGAUGAAUGUUGCCGGGAAGGUCCUUGACGGCUUCCUAACAAAAUCAGGGGUAUUUUCGCGACG